RNAcentral lists this ribosomal RNA (406 nucleotides) under uncultured bacterium. RNAcentral describes it as "bacterial SSU rRNA". It matches the Rfam family "Bacterial small subunit ribosomal RNA", at positions 29 to 428 of the family's 1533-position model. The record is from RNAcentral.
AACGAACGCUGGCGGCGUGCUUAACACAUGCAAGUCGAACGUGAAAGGCUUCGGCCGAGUAAAGUGGCGCACGGGUGAGUAACGCGUGGGUAAUCUGCCCUUGGGCGGGGGAUAACCUCUCGAAAGGGGGGCUAAUACCGCAUGAGACCACGGCUUUUCGGGGCUGUGGGAAAAGGUAGGGUCGCAAGGCCUGCCACCUGAGGAUGAGCCCGCGUACCAUUAGGUUGUUGGUGGGGUAAUGGCCUACCAAGCCGAAGAUGGUUAGCUGGUCUGAGAGGACGAUCAGCCACACUGGGACUGAGACACGGCCCAGACUCCUACGGGAGGCAGCAGUGGGGAAUAUUGCGCAAUGGGGGAAACCCGUGACGCAGCAACGCCGCGUGUGUGAAGAAGGCCUCGGUCGUAA